UACGUAGGGGGCUAGCGUUGUCCGGAAUCAUUGGGCGUAAAGCGCGUGUAGGCGGCCCGGUAAGUCCGCUGUGAAAGUCGGGGGCUCAACCCUCGGAUGCCGGUGGAUACUGUCGGGCUGGAGGGUGGUAGAGGCGAGUGGAAUUCCCGGUGUAGCGGUGAAAUGCGCAGAUAUCGGGAGGAACACCAGUAGCGAAGGCGGCUCGCUGGGCCAUUCCUGACGCUGAGACGCGAAAGCUAGGGGAGCGAACAGG
Molecule: ribosomal RNA, 253 nt
Filed under: uncultured bacterium
Lineage: Bacteria
Description: partial 16S ribosomal RNA
Rfam family: Bacterial small subunit ribosomal RNA
Source: RNAcentral